Ixodes scapularis (black-legged tick) is the source of this 73-nucleotide non-coding RNA. NCBI's taxonomy places the organism in Eukaryota, Metazoa, Arthropoda, Arachnida, Ixodida, Ixodidae. The record is from Rfam.
UCCUGAUUAGCUCAGAUGUUAGAGCGCUCCACCUGUAAUGGAGAGGUUUUGGGUUCAAUACCAGGACCAGGCG